RNAcentral lists this ribosomal RNA (762 nucleotides) under uncultured bacterium. RNAcentral describes it as "bacterial SSU rRNA". It matches the Rfam family "Bacterial small subunit ribosomal RNA", at positions 28 to 776 of the family's 1533-position model. The record is from RNAcentral.
AUUGAACGCUGGCGGCAGGCUUAACACAUGCAAGUCGAACGGUAACAGGAAGAAAGCUUGCUUUCUUUGCUGACGAGUGGCGGACGGGUGAGUAAUGCUUGGGAAUCUGUUUCAUGGAGGGGGAUAACUACGGGAAACUGUAGCUAAUACCGCGUAAUAUCGAGAGAUUAAAUGUGUGGGACCGUAAGGCCACAUGCCAUGAAGUGAGCCCAAGUGGGAUUAGAUAGUUGGUGAGGUAAUGGCUCACCAAGUCGGCGAUCUCUAGCUGGUCUGAGAGGAUGACCAGCCACACUGAGACUGAGACACGGCCCAGACUCCUACGGGAGGCAGCAGUGGGGAAUAUUGCACAAUGGGCGCAAGCCUGAUGCAGCCAUGCCGCGUGAAUGAAGAAGGCCUUCGGGUUGUAAAGUUCUUUCGGUGGUGAGGAAGGUUGACGUGUUAAUAGCACGUUGAUUUGACGUUAGCCACAGAAGAAGCACCGGCUAACUCCGUGCCAGCAGCCGCGGUAAUACGGAGGGUGCGAGCGUUAAUCGGAAUAACUGGGCGUAAAGGGCACGCAGGCGGUGACUUAAGUGAGGUGUGAAAGCCCUGGGCUUAACCUAGGAAUUGCAUUUCAUACUGGGUCGCUAGAGUAUUUUAGGGAGGGGUAGAAUUCCACGUGUAGCGGUGAAAUGCGUAGAGAUGUGGAGGAAUACCGAAGGCGAAGGCAGCCCCUUGGGAAUAUACUGACGCUCAUGUGCGAAAGCGUGGGGAGCAAACAGG